UACGUAGGUGGCAAGCGGUGUCCGGAUUUACUGGGCGUAAAGAGCGCGCAGGCGGUCGAUCAAGUCGCGUGUGAAAGCCCCCGGCUCAACUGGGGAGGGUCACGCGAUACUGAUCGACUCGAAGGCAGGAGAGGGUAGUGGAAUUCCCGGUGUAGUGGUGAAAUGCGUAGAUAUCGGGAGGAACACCAGUGGCGAAGGCGACUACCUGGCCUGUUCUUGACGCUGAGGCGCGAAAGCUAGGGGAGCAAACGGG
RNAcentral lists this ribosomal RNA (253 nucleotides) under uncultured bacterium. RNAcentral describes it as "partial 16S ribosomal RNA". It matches the Rfam family "Bacterial small subunit ribosomal RNA", at positions 524 to 776 of the family's 1533-position model. The record is from RNAcentral.